This is a long non-coding RNA of Lates calcarifer (barramundi perch), 652 nucleotides long. RefSeq lists it as uncharacterized. Lineage: Eukaryota; Metazoa; Chordata; Actinopteri; Centropomidae. The transcript is spliced from 6 exons. The record is from RefSeq and is a predicted model, not a curated record.
CGGAUGUUGGCUUGCGUGAGCCACCAUUCGCUGCGCUGUACGUCGUAACUGAAUGUGACCCAGAGAAGAGCAGAGCAGAGCAGCAGCAGCUAAACGAAAUCAAAAAAAUGAGUGAAAACACCGAGUAAAACCAGCGUUUGACUCGUCGCUUCGUCGCAUUGGGUUGUUAGAACUGUGAGAAACAUCAUUACUGAAUAAGUCUGGAUGAUAAAACGGCUUUAAAGUCGUGUUCAUCGAACAGGAGUGAGACUGGACGCUGAGCACACCUGUGGCACAAGGUGUUUACUUGUUGAGCUGCUGCAGCCUGGAGGGAAACACCAGCUCUCACCUCACAGACCAAACAGGACUCAGAGUUGAAGCAGGAAACAGUUGGAGUGACAGAGAGAAGAGACGGACAUGAAGAUUUCCACAAGGUGUCACCACUUCAUCCAUGAGUCCAGAGACCAGGACCAGAUCCAGCACCAAGUCCUUCAGGUGAACUCACAGAAACCACUGGAUCCACUCGAGGUGAAGGAGGAGGAGAUGAAGAUGAAGAUGAUGUCAUCAGGCGUGAAGAGGUGGAGCUGAUGAAAGAAAACAACAGAGUGAUGAAGCUGUUGAUUAAAGACACUGACAGAAAAACCUCCAGCCUGUUGAUGGAAACACAACAAAC